CAUUCAAUGUCAUAUGUACACCUAUCAUCUGAUGAGUGUCGGUUGUGUUAAUCCAUACAUCGUGUAUAUUACCAUACGGCAGGCUCUUUCUCAUCAAUGUGUAAGGCCUUAAUGUUUCAAGUUCACAGCUAAAGUAAUCAGCACCAGUAAAAUCAUCACAAUAUAGAUUACCCGUUUUGUAGUAGGCGAAGAACCACCUAAUGUGUUAACCAAUCUAGGUCCUCCAGCCCCAAAUGUGACAGCCAAAAGCCCUACUUUAAGCCAAUCGGCCACACACUGCGUUCCACUUUUCUCAACACCAUUGUACGUUUCAAAGCAAUGUGCCAUCAAUGUGUUAAACAUCUGACCACCCUCAUAAGCCUGUUCAAGUAUGAGCCCUACACCAGCACAAAUGAGUCUGCCUUGCCACGUAACAUAAAAAGCAGUUGCGAGUCCUGACAAUAGGAUAAUUAUUAAAGUCCCAACUAUUAAAGGGGACAUGUUUGAAAUUAAAGCAAUCAAUUCGGAAUAUUUUUGUUUUCUAUAUUCAAAAAAAGGAGAUAAUGGUAUCGUAUAUCAAAUACUUAUAUAGCUUUUGACUAAAUUUUUUUUUUUUUUUUUGGAAGAAGAGGUUCAGUUAUGCUCUAGUUUAAGCUUAAUGGAUCUUAAACUAAUAAUUUCGGAUAAGUGUAUAUAUUUCGGUUAUGCAAUAUAGAAACAUAUGAUCUAUCGGUAAUUGCAAGUUGCCGACAACAGGGGUUAUAUAGAAAAUGUCCCAUUAUUCCCUUCUUUAGCUAAUUUACUUAACAAUCGAGUUAACCUGGCCUUUCUUGCUACUUCGUUUCUCCGUUUCCCCCUUCAACUAGGCAGUAUCUUGAAAUUUUCAAUGUGGAAAAGGAGCUUUGAUCCAUGCCUCUUUGUGUUGUGUCUUUUCAUAGGCCAACGCUGAUAUCAACAUAUCUUUGAAUUUCGUAAAUUAUUUUGAUAGUAUUAUCCAGUAUAGCAAUCUUCAAUACUUUCAAGUUAGAUAGAGGCUUGUGAUUUUUUACUUUUAGCGCCAAAUAUUGGGGGUUGGUGGUUGGUUGAAGGUAUAGAUACAGAUAUCGCGACAUAGUAUUUCUUCCAAAAGUCUUUAGUUGUGUGGGACAUUCUCUAUAUUCGAUUCAUUCCUCUGACUGAGAGAAAUACGGCGAUCAGGUCGCUUCUCUAUAGUAAAUUUGACCAUAGGUUCGCAUCAACGGCUACUUAUAGGAGUAAUAAUACCGAUUAAAGAAGAUUAUGAAAAAAAUUUUUAAUUUUUUCUUUUUCAGACGAUUAAUAGAAGAUAACAGUUUUUGCAGUCUUUCCUUAGGAA
Molecule: long non-coding RNA, 1333 nt
Filed under: Schizosaccharomyces pombe (fission yeast)
Lineage: Eukaryota; Fungi; Ascomycota; Schizosaccharomycetes; Schizosaccharomycetales; Schizosaccharomycetaceae
Description: Pdc2-Repressed lncRNA, SPAC212.12 antisense
Source: RNAcentral